This 430-nucleotide ribosomal RNA is filed under the name uncultured bacterium. RNAcentral's name for it is "bacterial SSU rRNA". It matches the Rfam family "Bacterial small subunit ribosomal RNA", at positions 354 to 796 of the family's 1533-position model. The record is from RNAcentral.
GUGGGGAAUAUUGCACAAUGGGCGAAAGCCUGAUGCAGCAACGCCGCGUGAGGGACGACGGCCUUCGGGUUGUAAACCUCUUUUAGUAGGGAAGAAGCGAAAGUGACGGUACCUGCAGAAAAAGCACCGGCUAACUACGUGCCAGCAGCCGCGGUAAUACGUAGGGUGCAAGCGUUAUCCGGAAUUAUUGGGCGUAAAGAGCUCGUAGGCGGUCUGUCGCGUCUGCUGUGAAAACUGGAGGCUCAACCUCCAGCCUGCAGUGGGUACGGGCAGACUAGAGUGCGGUAGGGGAGAUUGGAAUUCCUGGUGUAGCGGUGGAAUGCGCAGAUAUCAGGAGGAACACCGAUGGCGAAGGCAGAUCUCUGGGCCGUAACUGACGCUGAGGAGCGAAAGCGUGGGGAGCGAACAGGAUUAGAAACCCCAGUAGUCC